This is a long non-coding RNA of Patella vulgata (common limpet), 2413 nucleotides long. RefSeq lists it as uncharacterized. NCBI's taxonomy places the organism in Eukaryota, Metazoa, Mollusca, Gastropoda, Patellidae. The transcript has 9 exons. The record is from RefSeq and is a predicted model, not a curated record.
GUGCACUAAGACAGUGACGCACUGACUUCUUUUCUCCGACUGGGAAGUAGGUGAUGCGAUAAGUGAACUUUUCAAUCAAUGAUAGAUCAAUGAUUCAUUAGCAAACUCCGCCGUUUUGUUUAUUAGAAAAUGGCUACCAAAAAGAAAUUUCAAGACGAACACUGGUCUAUAAAAGACUUAAAAGAUUUAAAAGAGGUUUUGAACACUGUUCCUAUUGAUGAUAUACCCAAGAUCCAGAAAAAACUUCCAUUUAAAACAGAAUCACAGAUUAAAGAUUUAAUAACAAAAUGUCGAACGUAUGAAUUUAGAGAAAAACUUCCCAGCUUAGAAGCCCCCAUUGAGAGCUGGACAGGUUUAGCAGCAAGAUUGGUGUACCAUGAUGCUAUAGAUCACUCGGAAAAUCUCUCAAGGGCCAUGUCUUUAAUUAGUGAGUAUGAAGAUAGAACACCAGUAGAUUGUGAGUUAAAGGUUGAUUAUAAACGGAUAUAUAGAUACCUAGCAGAUAUAUUACUAAAUAAGGCAUCAGUUACAACAUUACCAGCUUUAGAAUGUACAGUUAUAUUAGAUUUAAUGCAUAGUUUAGCAGAUGUUUUAAAAGAGAAGAAUACAGAAAUACAUGAGAAGAUAAUACAAUGGAAAUAUAAAUUAUUAACUUGUAAAAUAGAUUUAUAUAAUAAACAACAUCAAACAGAUCAGUUUAGAAAAGCUCUAUUUAAUGAUUUCUCAGAUUUACUGAACCCUGAAAAGACACCAGAGAAUCCAAAGUCCAAAACUGGACAUGGAAAAAAACGAAAACGCGGUGCAACUUUGGAUAUGAACAGCCUUGCCAAGAUUUGUAAAGCACAGGAUAAUUCAGAGGAAUCUGUUAAAGAUCCAACAUCAAAGAAUCGACAUCAGCAAUCAUUAGUCAAACCCAAACUAUUUACAAUUAAUCCAUUGUGUAUUCCAGUAGCGCUCGUUAAAUUAAAGGACUUAAAAUAGUUGAUAAGUGAUUUGAAGCGUAAAUAUGUUCAUCAAUGCGGAAGUCAUCUAUAAUUGAACUUUAACCUUUUAGAAAUCAUGUUGAUGUCUAAGUGUAUGUGUAUAAGUGUGUCAAUUUGGAUUUUCCUGUGAUCCAAUCAUUUCCUUUGUUAGGCCAUAUAAGAAAAUAUUAUGGUUCUCAGAUAAUCGUCACUUAAAAAGGGACGCAUGACCCAUUUUUAUUUCAAAUGAUAAAAACAUUCUAUUUAGUUGCGGGGGUGGUGGUGGGGGGGGGGGGGGCGAAUGGUUAGUGCGUGCACGUUGUAUCGUAAGGUUUGUCAUGAAGUCAACUGGCGUAGUUUCGAUUCCCCAGUUGUACGUGACAAGGAGUUGGGUCGCCUGUCCAACCUUAUGAGUUUUCUCUGGGUCCUCCGGUUUCCUCUCGCUGCUAAAGACCCCUAAGCACAAGUGAAUUAUUGAAAUAAAAUUGAACCAUAUGUUUGUCCCAAAAUGACCUAGUUUGUGUUGAGUGGACAUUAAACCCCAUCUGUGUGUGUCUCUCUCUCCCCGUGAAAUUUAGCCCAGUAGUGAUCUGUCGACAAAUUAAAAACACAAAAAAAAUAAAAACCUCCCCCCCCCCCCACAUCAGAUUAUUGGAACAGAUUGUCUGAGAACGAGAAUAUCAUUUUGUUUGGCCUUAUUGUUAAGAUACAUGUAUUGUUAUGUUCAUACCAGAAAUAUUAACAAUAAUUUUGCAGAGAUUUUAAACACUGUUAACGCUGAACCACUAUCGACCCAUGGUGUUAGCAUUGUCGUUUAUAGGUAACGGUAUACGGAAUAGCGGUAGCUGAAAUGGUCACCAUCUUUAUGGUUAGUGCGUGCACGUUGUAUCGUAAGGUUUGUCAUGAAGUCAACUGGCGUGGUUUCGAUUCCCCAGUUGUACGUGACAAGGAGUUGGGUCGCCUGUCCAACCUUAUGAGUUUUCUCUGGGUCCUCCGGUUUCCUCUCGCUGCUAAAGACCCCUAAGCACAAGUGAAUUAUUGAAAUAAAAUUGAACCAUAUGUUUGUCCCAAAAUGACCUAGUUUGUGUUGAGUGGACAUUAAACCCCAUCUGUGUGUGUGUCUCUCUCCCCGUGAAAUUUAGCCCAGUAGUGAUCUGUCGACAAAUUAAAAACACAAAAAUAAAUAAAAACCUCCCUCCCACAUCAGAUUAUUGGAACAGAUUGUCUGAGAACGAGAAUAUCAUUUUGUUUGGCCUUAUUGUUAAGAUACAUGUAUUGUUAUGUUCAUACCAGAAAUAUUAACAAUAAUUUUGCAGAGAUUUUAAACACUGUUAACGCUGAACCACUAUCGUUUAUAGGUAACAGUAUAUGGAAUAGCGGUAGCUGAAAUGGUCGCCAUCUUUAUUGCACGAAAAAUGUCAACAUCAUCAACUACAGACUUCAAUGUUGAC